Molecule: long non-coding RNA, 2291 nt
Organism: Nomascus leucogenys (northern white-cheeked gibbon)
Lineage: Eukaryota; Metazoa; Chordata; Mammalia; Primates; Hylobatidae
Exons: 5
Source: RefSeq, a predicted model, not a curated record
GCAGCAACGGAAAGGCGCCACGCUCGUGAGGGGAACCAGCUUUCCGGGGACGCUCAGUGUGGGCAGGCAGGAAGCCUGGCUCCACUGGGACACACAGAUUCUCUCCUGAGCAGCUGCGAACUAUGCGCCCCUUCUACCCUUAAGAGAUGGGAUGGGAGUCCAACAAACGCAGCCAUUGCUCAGACCCCAGCCCUUCUCUCCUCUAAGAAGCAGGUUCACCUCUACCACAGCACUCGCAUUUUUUUUUUUUUAAAGCCCGGCCUUUCCUAGGCGGGGUCAAGGGCCCCGCCCACCGAAGCCACGCCCAGUAGCCGCCCCGGGGCGGGGCUCCCCUCGGCUCCCGGCUGCCCUUUCCCCUCCGGCCUCUUCCCUUGCUGCUGCGCCCUGCGGAGCUCCGAACACGUGCGCAGAGGCCGGCUGUGGCAGAUGCAACUUCAGGAUGACUUGAAAGUAGGGCAUCCUUCACCCAUCUGAAGGGAGGAAAUAGUGGCAGGUGACAGUCUGCAUGUGCAGUUUUCAGAUGCCUUCACCUGAAUGACAUCUACCUCCAUCAGGACUCCAGAUGUCUGACAGCCCUGUGUGACACCAAGAUAAGUAAUGAUCCUAUUGAAGAUACCACAUUACACUUAGGCUCCUGUUGGCCAUGACAGCUUCUUAGACUUGUUUUUAAUGACCUUGACAGUUUUGUUUUGUUUUUUUGUUUGUUUGUUUUUAUUUGAGACGGAGUCUCGCUCUGUCGUCCAGACUGGAGUGCAAUGGCUCAAUCUCAGCUCACUGCAACCUCUCCCUCCCGGGUUCAAGUGAUUCUCCUGCCUCAGCCUCCCCAGUAGCUGGGAUUACAGGCAUGAGCCACUGCGCCUGGCCGCCUCCUAAAUUCUUAAAACAUUCUAUUUUUAUUCUGUGGUCUUAGUUUAUUCUGUCACGUAGAGAAUAGUGGUUGAGCCUGUUGUCUUUGAGAGUGGAUGCUGUAGUCCUUAUAUGGCUGAUUUUCACCCCAUAAGCUUAUAGUAGAGGAUGGGGAUUUUGUUAUCAGCUGCUAAAAGGGAGAAGCCAAACCCAGAACUAAGGGUUCUGAUGAGUUGAAGGAGAGGGAAGAUGCUACUCAAGGCAAAGAGCCUCUGAGUUAGAAUCUGUGCUUCACCAGAGUGACAAUGGUAGAACUUCUCCUUCUCAGUAUUAAUUCUCCUGGAGAGAACUCUAGGGUUGUCUAAACCUGUUCAAAUAGGCUGACUACCCCAGCAAGUGAUGGGUUGGACAUAAGGCAAAGAACAGGAGGGGUGAAAGGGGGCAGAACAGACAAGUUCUGUCCCAGCCUCUGCUACCUCUAACCCCAUGGCAUUCUAUCCCUUUCUACACUGGGCUUCCAUUUCUUACCCCAACCAUGAUCUGUUCUUCCAGACACUUGACCUCCUUCUGAUUUGUGUACUCCCUCCAAGGCUGAGUUGCAGUGAGUGACAAUAAUCUGUGCUAAUUACUUAUCUUGCCAGAAGACUCAAAGGGUUUAUGGCUUUUAUUAACUGAACUCUAUGCUAGAUGUUAGGGAUAAAUGGUUAACAGGACACAGUUCUUGCUUAUCUUGCUAUGGUCUAUCAAGCCUUAUACAAUCUAGCCUUAUCUCUCUCACCCUCUUAUCUUUAUCACCCGUAGAUUCCCUUGUUGGCCGCCAUGCUGGUUUCUUUCAGUCCUUAAUUAGCCUUUUGUCACUACCUGUCUACACAUGCUGUUUUUCCCUUCUGGUUCCAUCUUGACAUUGUCUAUUUUGAGAUCUCAGCUCAGUUGUAGAGAAGCUGCCUUCCCUGUCUGGCAACCCAUUAUGUGUCAUAGUACCAUGUUGUACCAUAGAGCUAGACACAGGUGCCAUGUUAUGUCUUGAAAUGUAUUUACCAGCUUCCAAAGGUUUACCUCAAUCCCCUUUACUCAAGAAGCCUCAGUUCUACUGACAGUUGGUAAUAAUAACCCCUCUGUCAUAAUGUACCCAAAAUAGAGUAAGAAUAUCAUGCUUUUCAGUAAUACUCCAGUGAGUGAGGCUAAGAGUACCAUUUCUGUUCUUGUAAAAGAAUUUUUUUGGACAUGAAUACAAAGGUGUCAGGUUACCAAAUCAUUUGCUAGUAGACCCUAACAAUAUAACCUAUAGGAAACUAAAUGUAACCUUUAAACAUUAAGUGAUGAUAAUGGAUUUCACCAGGCGUGGUUGCCUAUAAUCCCAACACUGAGAGGCUGAGGUGGGUGGAUCACUUGAGGCCAGGACAGGACCAGCAUGGCCAACAUGGUGAAACCCCAUCUCUACAAAA